CUCCUAGUCUAAAAGAGAACGAUAAAUCACAGACGGUUUCCUGAGAAGAAUGUGCCCCACUGCUCGGUUAAGAAGGUGCCCAGAGCACAGGGAAGGUCAGGUGGGUGCUGAUCAGGUGAAGAGGGGCAGGGCAGGGGCCCAGGAGCUGCUCGUAAGGCUCCAGAGGCUGUCCUGAGCUCUGUAGGGUGUGGGAUCUGAGAUAAAAUGUAUGUGGCCUGGGUACAAGAUCACGUCAUUAUGCCACAUGUGUCAUGUGGAGUGUGGGAGCAGCAUGUACCAUAUUACGACACAGCAGUUGAGACUAGCUACAGAAGGCCACUGCAUCAAAAAAUCUGGUCCCAGGGUCUGUCCCAGCACGGAGGGAAAGCUGAGGCUGGAGCUGGCACCACCCGCAAGCACUCGGGGCGGGCUCCUGCCCAGGGGAGCGCAGUGCGGGCCCGCGGCUGGCGGCAGUGCACCCCCGCGUAGCAGCAGGGCGGCUUUUACGCGAGAGCCUGAUGAAUUGCAGCCAGUAAAUGGAACCCCGAUAACCGCCUUUCACUAGUAUCCAUCGUAUCGAGAAAUGAUCAGUUUUUAUUGGUUUUUAUAAGAG
Molecule: long non-coding RNA, 592 nt
Organism: Gallus gallus (chicken)
Lineage: Eukaryota; Metazoa; Chordata; Aves; Galliformes; Phasianidae
Source: Ensembl